RNAcentral lists this ribosomal RNA (298 nucleotides) under uncultured bacterium. RNAcentral's name for it is "partial 16S ribosomal RNA". It matches the Rfam family "Bacterial small subunit ribosomal RNA", at positions 202 to 507 of the family's 1533-position model. The record is from RNAcentral.
UAAAGUUUUUUCGGCCAGGGAUGUGCUCGCGGCCUAUCAGCUUGUUGGUGGGUAAUGGCCUACCAAGGCUUCGACGGGUAGCCGGCCUGAGAGGGUGACCGGCCACACUGGGACUGAGACACGGCCCAGACUCCUACGGGAGGCAGCAGUGGGGAAUAUUGGACAAUGGGCGGAAGCCUGAUCCAGCAACGCCGCGUGAGGGAUGACGGCCUUCGGGUUGUAAACCUCUUUCAGUACCGACGAAGCGCCGAUGAUGGUGGUGACGGUAGGUACAGAAGAAGCACCGGCCAACUACGUG